GACGAACGCUGGCGGCGCGCUUAACACAUGCAAGUCGAACGGAAAGGCCUGCUUUCCCUUGUGGAUUGCGGGUACUCGAGUGGCGAACGGGUGAGUAACACGUGAGUGAUCUGCCCCCAACUUGGGUAUAAGCCUGGGAAACUGGGUCUAAUUCCCGAUAGGACUGCAGGGUGGUGCCUGUGGUGGAAAACGAUUUUCUAGUGGUUGGGGAUGAGCUCGCGGCCUAUCAGCUUGUUGGUGGGGUAAUGGCCUACCAAGGCGGCGACGGGUAGCCGGCCUGAGAGGGUGGACGGCCACAUUGGGACUGAGAUACGGCCCAGACUCCGACGGGAGGCAGCAGUGGGGAAUAUUGCACAAUGGGCGGAAGCCUGAUGCAGCGACGCCGCGGGGGGGAUGACGGCCUUCGGGUGGUAAACUCCUUUCGACCGCGAGGAAGCCACCUGGUUGGAAGGGUGGUGACGGUAGUGGUAGAAGAAGCACCGGCUAACUACGUG
RNAcentral lists this ribosomal RNA (494 nucleotides) under uncultured bacterium. RNAcentral's name for it is "partial 16S ribosomal RNA". It matches the Rfam family "Bacterial small subunit ribosomal RNA", at positions 28 to 507 of the family's 1533-position model. The record is from RNAcentral.